UGGCUUUACCGUUGGCUAGACGUAUGUAAACAGAGGCCCACGUUUUUACUAUAAACUGAGGAACAAACUGAAGCGGGAGCAGAAUGCCAGGCUGCAGCAACAGAGGGAGUGUUCGAAGGAGCGCAGCUUGGAGGUGGUAGUGCUGGAGAGGCAUGUUAGUGAGCUGCCCAGAGCGCCUGGGGAAGAGAAAGGCAGCUCUGCCACAGGAAGAGAAUGUACCAGUUUCUUCAGAUGGGAAUUCCCCACAGCUGGUAGCUUCUGCUCCAGUCGAGUGGCAGCAGUAGGUCCUUCUAUCCAGUCCUCUACUAUGCCACGUAUUGCUUCCAGACCUGAACUUGGGGUGAAAGCAGCAUUCUCAGGUGGGACACGAGCCUCGCCGGGCAGCUGAGGGUCUACUAAAAUCACAAACUCUGCCCAGCGUGGGAGAUGGGAACUGUUCACAAGCGAAAGGUCCUGCAUGUAAGAGCUUACAAUUAAUAGUUCUUAUAUGGAUGUGUUUUGGUUCACUUCACAGCUCUGUUUUGGUGUUUUGGGUUUUUUUUCUAUUUUAUUUUAAAGCAAAGACUUAUUUGCAAUGUGGGUCUCACUACUUGCAAUUAUUUUUUUCUGUGCCAGUGAAUACAUUUGAUAAGCACUGAGGUUCUACGAUUCAGUUGUUCUAAAUUAGGUAAUUCUCUUAGUGAGCAAUUUGAGUUGUUAUACAGUACAGACUGCAGAAGCAUUUUUCGUUGAACUGAUUGUUUUUUAGUUUAUUUUAAAGCUCUCCUAAAAACUCUACACCGGCGUGUGUUCGCUGCACCUGCACUGGGGGCUG
Corapipo altera (White-ruffed manakin) is the source of this 814-nucleotide long non-coding RNA. RefSeq lists it as uncharacterized. The record is from RefSeq and is a predicted model, not a curated record. The transcript is spliced from 3 exons. Lineage: Eukaryota; Metazoa; Chordata; Aves; Passeriformes; Pipridae.